Puntigrus tetrazona (Sumatra barb) is the source of this 194-nucleotide long non-coding RNA. RefSeq lists it as uncharacterized. The record is from RefSeq and is a predicted model, not a curated record. Lineage: Eukaryota; Metazoa; Chordata; Actinopteri; Cypriniformes; Cyprinidae. The transcript is spliced from 3 exons.
UUUCACCUCAACCAGGUGACUAAAUGAAAGUAAAACAAAUUUAAAACAAGUUUAAAUCUGUGCCUGGACCUUCAAGUGGCAGCACAGUGUGAUACUACACUAAUACUAAACCUACUGCUUUUCUACUGCAGUGUUUCCAAAAUGAGUUUCCAAGAGAAAAGGGAGAACGAAGUAACCGCUAUUGACUCAGGUAU